This 713-nucleotide long non-coding RNA is filed under the name Rattus norvegicus (Norway rat). RNAcentral's name for it is "long non-coding RNA NONRATT007133". The record is from RNAcentral. Lineage: Eukaryota; Metazoa; Chordata; Mammalia; Rodentia; Muridae.
AGGGACUAGCCCGGGGGUGGCAACUUAGGACUACUUGUCAACAGGUCAACAGGUACUUUCCGGUCUGGGAACACAAUACUCUGCCAUCAGCAGCAGGUGUGCUAUGUCAUUCUUGCUGUCCACAGGAGUGAUGACAAGAGUGAGCCUACUCUGUCACCACGUCCAGGUUUCAGGAGUCUAGAAGAGCAUGUAGCAUACACAUGAGCUUAGGCUCUCCCAGGACGAUGCUAUUGGUCUAGUUGUCCUGGAAGUGUUUCAUGUGGGAUGUGGUGUUUCUCCAACCCCAUCAUAGGAAGACAUGGGCUCUCUGUUCUACCUCAUGCUGGACGUCUUAGAGACUGGCUGCCACGUGCUCAGCAGGAAGGCACUGAAGGACUGCGGACCGAGGAUUUUCUAUGAGACUGUUCAUGGACAGUGCAAAGCUAUGUUUCACGUUAACAAGCCAAGAAGAGUUCUCUACUUACCUGCUUAUAACUGUACACUUCGCCCAGUUUCUAAAAGGAAGAUUCAUUCUAUGUGCCCUGACUGCCCGCAUCCCGUUGACUUGUCAGCCCCCAGUGUUCUGGAAGCUGCCACAGAAUCACUUGCGAAGUUUAACAGCGAGAACCCCUCAAAACAAUAUGCACUCGUCAAAGUCACCAAGGCUACGACCCAGUGGGUGGUUGGUCCUUCUUACUUUGUGGAAUAUUUGAUCAAAGAGUCACCAUGUACCC